This 466-nucleotide ribosomal RNA is filed under the name uncultured bacterium. RNAcentral describes it as "partial 16S ribosomal RNA". It matches the Rfam family "Bacterial small subunit ribosomal RNA", at positions 28 to 507 of the family's 1533-position model. The record is from RNAcentral.
GAUGAACGCUGGCGGCGUGCUUAACACAUGCAAGUCGAACGAUGAAGCCCAGCUUGCUGGGUGGAUUAGUGGCGAAUGGGUGAGUAACACGUGAGUAACCUGCCCUUGACUCUGGGAUAAGCCUGGGAAACUGGGUCUAAUACUGGAUAUGACUUCUCAUCGCAUGGUGGGGGGUGGAAAGAUUUAUUGGUCUUGGAUGGACUCGCGGCCUAUCAGCUUGUUGGUGAGGUAAUGGCUCACCAAGGCGACGACGGGUAGCCGGCCUGAGAGGGUGACCGGCCACACUGGGACUGAGACACGGCCCAGACUCCUACGGGAGGCAGCAGUGGGGAAUAUUGCACAAUGGGCGCAAGCCUGAUGCAGCGACGCCGCGUGAGGGAUGACGGCCUUCGGGUUGUAAACCUCUUUCAGUAGGGAAGAAGCGAGAGUGACGGUACCUGCAGAAGAAGCGCCGGCUAACUACGUG